GCGAGGCGAGGCCUGCGGAGCGGAGGAAGACAAACAUAAAGAUGAAGUGCUUAAUUCAAGGUCACACAAUGUCGGGGAUGGACCUCCAGAUUUCCUUACUGACCUGCAUUAUCUUGUGGAUACCUGAGUGAAUUCCACACCACCCAUUUUAUAGAUGAAACCACUGAGACAUGGAGCAAUUGACUGAGUAGUCACUGCCCCACCCCUGCCUGGAGCCUCACACAUGACUCGCCUCCUCUCAGUGACCACAGGUUGGUUGAGGGGUUUAACAAGGCUAAGAAGGUGAGACGUGGUCUUGUAACACAGUGGUUAAGAAUGUGACUUUGGAGCCAGCCUGCUAGGGGCUGAAUUCUGACUCAGCCAUUUACUAACUGUGUGACCUUAGGUGGGUUCCCAAGCCUGUAAAAUGUAAGCCUUAUGCUGCUGAGGGCCAUCUUGCCACCCUGAGGGAAACGCUGCCUGAGAAUGAAACAAGCAUAAGUAAAAGCUGAGCUGUGAGAUGGAGCAAGAUGAAGGCCACAUGACAUCUUUGGAGCACCUGGAUCUAACUGUGCCUUAAGCUAGUCUAACCCUGAACAUUUCAUCAUUUCAUUGACAUGAGCCCAGGUUUUCUUUUUUUUUGGAUGGAGUCUUGCUCUGUCGCCCAGGCUGGAGUGCAGUAGCUCAAUCUCGGCUCACUGCAAGCUCCACCUCCCGGGUUCACGCCAUUCUCCUGCCUUAGCCUCCCAAGUAGCUGGGACAACAGGCGCCCACCACCACUCCCAGCUAAUUUUUUGUAUUUUUAGUAGAGACGGGGUUUUACCAUGUUAGCCGGGAUGGUCUUGAUCUCCUGACCUCAUGAUCCGCCCGCCUCGGCCUCCCAAAGUGCUGGGAUUACAGGUGUG
RNAcentral lists this long non-coding RNA (884 nucleotides) under Homo sapiens (human). Its description in RNAcentral is "PCBP1 antisense RNA 1". Lineage: Eukaryota; Metazoa; Chordata; Mammalia; Primates; Hominidae. The record is from RNAcentral.